AUGGCGUCCGUGGGGCCGACCCUCGAGUCCCUCGUCGACCAGGUGAUCUCCAUCAUCACCAACGACGGCCGCAACAUCGUGGGGACUCUGCGCGGGUUCGACCAGGCCACCAACAUAAUCCUCGACGAGUCCCACGAGAGGGUCUACUCCACUAAGGAGGGAGUACAGCAGCUUGUCCUUGGUCUGUACAUCAUCAGGGGUGAUAACAUAGGCGUGGUGGGUGAGGUGGACGAGGAGCUGGACGCGGCGCUGGACAUGUCGAAGCUGAGAGCGCAGCCCCUCAAGCCAGUCAUCCACUGA
RNAcentral lists this ribosomal RNA (300 nucleotides) under Triticum aestivum (bread wheat). RNAcentral describes it as "partial small subunit ribosomal RNA". Lineage: Eukaryota; Viridiplantae; Streptophyta; Magnoliopsida; Poales; Poaceae. The record is from RNAcentral.